RNAcentral lists this ribosomal RNA (195 nucleotides) under uncultured bacterium. RNAcentral's name for it is "partial 16S ribosomal RNA". It matches the Rfam family "Bacterial small subunit ribosomal RNA", at positions 1306 to 1500 of the family's 1533-position model. The record is from RNAcentral.
UGCAACUCGCCUGCAUGAAGUCGGAAUCGCUAGUAAUCGCGGAUCAGCACGCCGCGGUGAAUACGUUCCCGGGCCUUGUACACACCGCCCGUCACACCACGGAAGUUGGGAGUACCCAAAGUAGGUUGCCUAACCGCAAGGGGGACGCUGUCGAAGGUAGGAUUGGCGACUGGGGUGAAGUCGUAACAAGGUAUC